This 541-nucleotide transfer RNA is filed under the name uncultured cyanobacterium. RNAcentral's name for it is "partial 16S-23S ribosomal RNA intergenic spacer". The stretch from base 211 to 283 matches the Rfam family "tRNA". Lineage: Bacteria; Bacillati; Cyanobacteriota. The record is from RNAcentral.
CAGGGAGACAACAAAAUGUUAAAUAUUAUUAUUUUGUCACCUUAGGUCGAUCGGUAUCUCACAUCCUUAAAUAUUAAGGAUUUCAAUUCCUAAGUUUUUCUAGGUCACACCCAUUAUUUUUCCUGGGCCAUUAGCUCAGGUGGUUAGAGCGCACCCCUGAUAAGGGUGAGGUCCCUGGUUCAAGUCCAGGAUGGCCCAUAUCUCUAUGUUGGGGGUAUAGCUCAGUUGGUAGAGCGCCUGCUUUGCAAGCAGGAUGUCAGCGGUUCGAGUCCGCUUACCUCCACUGAUUACCACCUCUUCCAUAACCCAGAUAAAGGAAAUGUUUUGAGUUGUGAUCAAAUUCUGAACGAAUCUAGCUUCCUAAUGACAUCAUUAAGAUGCUGGACUCAUUGAAUUAAAUUCAUUGUUUUCAGAGAACCUUGACAACUGCAUAGAUUAUUUUAAAGACAAUAAGCAUCUUUAAUGAUGCAGAUUUAUUAUUUGUGCGAAUGCAUUAAUAACAAUUCUAUUAAGCUGAUGCUUCUAAUUUUAAGAAGUUAUU